GUCAGGAUGGCCAAGCGGUCUAAGGCGCUGCGUUCAGGUCGCAGUCCGGUCUUCCGGGCGUGGAUUCGAAUCCCACUUCUGACA
Molecule: non-coding RNA, 84 nt
Organism: Ixodes scapularis (black-legged tick)
Lineage: Eukaryota; Metazoa; Arthropoda; Arachnida; Ixodida; Ixodidae
Source: Rfam